RNAcentral lists this ribosomal RNA (411 nucleotides) under uncultured bacterium. RNAcentral's name for it is "bacterial SSU rRNA". It matches the Rfam family "Bacterial small subunit ribosomal RNA", at positions 505 to 916 of the family's 1533-position model. The record is from RNAcentral.
AAAAAAGAAGAAGCGGGAAUACGUAGGGUGCGAGCGUUAAUCGGAAUUACUGGGCGUAAAGCGUGCGCAGGCGGUCUUGUAAGACAGUCGUGAAAUCCCUGGGCUUAACCUAGGAACUGCGAUUGUGACUGCAAGGCUAGAGUGUGUCAGAGGGGGGUGGAAUUCCACGUGUAGCAGUGAAAUGCGUAGAGAUGUGGAGGAACACCGAUGGCGAAGGCAGCCCCCUGGGAUAACACUGACGCUCAUGCACGAAAGCGUGGGGAGCAAACAGGAUUAGAUACCCUGGUAGUCCACGCCCUAAACGAUGUCAACUGGUUGUUGGAAGGGUAACCUUUUAGUAACGAAGCUAACGCGUGAAGUUGACCGCCUGGGGAGUACGGUCGCAAGAUUAAAACUCAAAGGAAUUGACGG